RNAcentral lists this ribosomal RNA (451 nucleotides) under Streptococcus mitis. RNAcentral describes it as "bacterial SSU rRNA". It matches the Rfam family "Bacterial small subunit ribosomal RNA", at positions 28 to 467 of the family's 1533-position model. The record is from RNAcentral. Lineage: Bacteria; Bacillati; Bacillota; Bacilli; Lactobacillales; Streptococcaceae.
GACGAACGCUGGCGGCGUGCCUAAUACAUGCAAGUAGAACGCUGAAGGAGGAGCUUGCUUCUCUGGAUGAGUUGCGAACGGGUGAGUAACGCGUAGGUAACCGGCCUGGUAGCGGGGGAUAACUAUUGGAAACGAUAGCUAAUACCGCAUAAUAGCAGUUAUUGCAUGAUAACUGUUUGAAAGGUGCAAUUGCACCACUACCAGAUGGGCCUGCGUUGUAUUAGCUAGUUGGUGGGGUAACGGCUCACCAAGGCGACGAUACAUAGCCGACCUGAGAGGGUGAUCGGCCACACUGGGACUGAGACACGGCCCAGACUCCUACAGGAGGCAGCAGUAGGGAAUUUCGGCAAUGGACGGAAGUCUGACCGAGCAACGCCGCGUGAGUGAAGAAGGUUUUCGGAUCGUAAAGCUCUGUUGUAAGAGAAGAACGAGUGUGAGAGUGGAAAGUCAC